UUGAUCUAGUUUGACUGAUUUCAGUUUGAGGUAAGCACGGAAAUAUCACACAUAAGGAAAAGGUAAAUGAGAUGACAUCAGAUCGACAGGUAAACAAGAGAAUAGGCCUAUUUGAUCGACAACAGCUGAUUGACACUAUCACUAUGGUCAUUGGAAAAAUGUCACAGGUGUCACUUAUUUAAAGUGACACAGGUGUCACUUACGUUUUAACAAAUUCAAGUUUGGUUAACAUUACACAAUUAUUUAACAACCUGACCUUGGCGGACGCGGAGAGAAUCGGGGUCAAACGAAAACGAGGCCAAUAUGCAACAAGUAUACGUACACUCGUCACUUACAGGACGGAAUGAAGCAAGCCUAGUCUCUUAUAGAGGCCUAGGGAGUGGAGUUGGUUUAGCCGUGAGAAAAAAUCCUGCGGUGGCAGGAGGAAUUGAACCCAGCGGCCUGGGAUUGAAGGCAAGCAUCUUAACCACUAAGCUAUUCACCCCCUCCAAGUUUAAUUAUUUAUGUUAAUACUAGGCCUA
Long non-coding RNA from Anneissia japonica, 521 nucleotides. RefSeq lists it as uncharacterized. The transcript has 3 exons. NCBI's taxonomy places the organism in Eukaryota, Metazoa, Echinodermata, Crinoidea, Comatulida, Comatulidae. The record is from RefSeq and is a predicted model, not a curated record.